CAGCAGCCACGGGAAUACGUAGGUGGCAAGCGUUGUCCGGAAUUAUUGGGCGUAAAGGGCUCGCAGGCGGUUUCUUAAGUCUGAUGUGAAAGCCCCCGGCUCAACCGGGGAGGGUCAUUGGAAACUGGGAAACUUGAGUGCAGAAGGGGAGAGUGGAAUUCCACGUGUAGCGGUGAAAUGCGUAGAGAUGUGGAGGAACACCAGUGGCGAAGGCGACUCUCUGGUCUGUAACUGACGCUAAGGAGCGAAAGCGUGGGGAGCGAACAGGAUUAGAUACCCCUGUAGUCCCUGUCUCUUAUAC
This 301-nucleotide ribosomal RNA is filed under the name uncultured bacterium. RNAcentral's name for it is "partial 16S ribosomal RNA". It matches the Rfam family "Bacterial small subunit ribosomal RNA", at positions 509 to 807 of the family's 1533-position model. The record is from RNAcentral.